Molecule: long non-coding RNA, 872 nt
Filed under: Citrus x clementina
Lineage: Eukaryota; Viridiplantae; Streptophyta; Magnoliopsida; Sapindales; Rutaceae
Description: Citrus clementina (C. clementina) long non-coding RNA (CCLE_LNC002615)
Source: RNAcentral
AAAUAACAAAUAUGUAACACAAAAUUAUAAUAUGAUGGAUAAUAUAAUUCUACUAAUUACAAUUAUCAGUUUAUCAUCAACAAGACUUUAUGUUUUAGGAAUGUUGUUUGAUUGUUUUACUGUGAUUAACUACAUAUUUUCCAAUAUAUAUAACUACCACUACUAAAAAUAGGCAAAAUAAUAACAGAAAUUCUAUGAUUUAUCUCGUAAGGAACUCACACAAGCAGGUGUAAAUUAAGCGGAAACAAAACUCUUUCCCUCUUUGUGUGAUUAAAAUAGGAUGUGUACCAUAAAUAAAUAAGUAAAAAAUAAACCAACACAAUCCAAAGCAAUAAACCUGUUAGCCUAAAGGGCUUACAAAUAAUGUAAUUUUGAUGAUAAUAAACAUAUGUCUUAAGUGAUUUGAAAAAUAUUGUAUUUCACAUUUCACUAGUUCUUGAAGGAAAAUAUUUAUGAUGAAGUGAAUCACGUGAAAUCAAACUCAAGACACUCAAAGGACAACGACGAGAUUAAGAAUAAAGUUUAGAGCUCAGCGGACUCAUUAUUGCGACAAUUCUUGUAAAACCGGUAUGAUUUAAUAUAUGAAUGGUUUAGCAUUUGAGAAACUCAAAAUUUUGUUUAAUAAAUCAUUAUUUUUCAUAAACUAAAUGUUUAACAAUUAUGAGCCAAGUAUUUUAGGCAAUUAUUUGUUUUUCAAGAUGUGGACUAAAAUGAAAAAGUUUUGUAAUCUUUGAUUUUAAUAAGUCUUGUUUUAAGUUCCGGAUUUGGACCUAUUGGCAAAUCUUUCAAACGAUUUGUGCCAUACUAUAAUUUCUAAAGGUUUGGGGCUAAAGUGUAAAUAUUAAAAAUAGACAGAGAGUUGGCCGCUAACC